UCCUACAGUUACCUGCGAUGCUAGCUUGCGUGGUACAGAAUAAACCUCCUCGAUACAGGCAGCACAGAGGUUGUCCGCAUUGACAAUAAACGCCACAGCGGUACAUUGAGGUCGUGUCGGUCAAUAGGAGAGUUUUGUUAGGAUAAAUAUAGAGCAAGCUAAAUAAUAGUACAAAAUAAAAUACAAUUAUUGUGUCCUGUCAGGUCUUAGAGGACGACUCGGAACUAGCUAGCUAGCUAGCUAGCCAGUGCCAGCUAACAUAGCUAGACGCUAACUGUAACUGAACCCGGUGCUAAACCGCAAGUGUGAAUCAACUUUAGUCCAUUAGCGAGAUUAAACGGAGAGGAACGGAUACUGUAAAUUGCACAACGAACUAGGUGACGUUGAAGAGCGGCGAUGGACUUCGUUGCUGGAUGCAUCGGAGGUGCUGCUGGUGUCUUGGUUGGACACCCAUUUGACACAGUUAAGGUGAGACUGCAGGUCCAGAGUGUUGACAAGCCUCUGUACCGUGGGACCUAUCACUGUUUCCAGUCCAUCAUACGGCAGGAGACGGUAUUUGGUUUGUACAAAGGCAUCGGAUCCCCCAUGAUGGGCCUUACAUUCAUCAAUGCUAUAGUGUUUGGUGUUCAGGGAAACACCAUGCGGUUCCUGGGACAGGACACCCCCAUGAACCAGUUCCUUGCUGGUGCAGCAGCAGGUGCCAUCCAGUGUGUCAUCUGCUGCCCUAUGGAGCUGGCUAAAACCCGCAUGCAAAUGCAGGGUACUGGGGAGAAGAAGUCUUCUAGGAAGUUGUACAAGAAUUCCCUGGACUGCUUGGCACGCAUCUACAAUCGGGAGGGUCUGCGGGGCGUAAACAGAGGCAUGGUCACGACAUUAAUCCGUGAGACACCUGGCUUUGGAGUGUAUUUCCUGGCCUAUGAUGUAAUGACACGCAGCCUUGGCUGUGAGCCGGAUGACCGCUACAUGAUCCCCAAACUGCUGUUUGCAGGGGGCAUGGCUGGCAUUGCCUCCUGGCUUUCCACCUACCCUGUGGAUGUGAUCAAAUCGCGGCUGCAGGCAGACGGGGUGGGUGGAGUCAACCAGUACAGCGGCAUCGCUGACUGUGUGCGACAGAGUAUCAGGAGAGAGGGCUACAUGGUGUUCACACGAGGCCUCACCUCCACGCUGCUACGGGCGUUCCCUGUGAAUGCAACUACCUUUGCUACCGUCACCCUUAUCCUCAUGUACGCCCGGGGGGUGGAGGAGGGGCCUAAAGACUGUGAGCAGGCUCAGCCAAGCCACCACACACAGAUAAAGCAGCAGGCCCAACCCUCCAGCCUGUGACAGCACAGAGGUCUCAACCUGGGCACUUUACAGGACCAUGGAUUAUAUAAACAUACAAACACUUUAUAAAUGUCUGACUCAGUCUCACACCAGACCCCCCAUUUCGAGAAGAAAAAAAACCUGGUUUAUAUAAACACGUGUUUUUACUUUCAUGUCACAAAGGCAACUAUAUUUAUUUUUAGCUAUAAUUUAAGUUUUAGGUUUGCCACUGAAGAUGCAGACUUGUACAAGGGGAUGGUGUUACCUAUGAUAAGAUGGAGAAAAUGGAGCUAUGAGAUUCAUGAAAGUUUUUCUGUGAGAAUGAUCUUGUGUGACACUGAUUAUGACUUGUUACUGAGCCACAAAACUAAGGGUGUGGCUACAUGGUGUGUACAGUGUAGACACUGAAGGUUGAUAUCUGUCUUGAAAUGUGCAGUGUUUCGCUGCACCUGUAUAUAUCAUUGGUUUUAGUUCUGUUUUUAAAUGUCAAUUGGAGACAUUUCCCUGCCUUAUAAUAUGAAUUUUUUUAUUUUGUUUAAGGAAGCUGAAGCACCUGUUUGUAGCUGAACUGUAUCCUCUGAGGAGCCAAGCAAGAGGGCGAUGGAAUGUAGCAUUUGAUAAGUACAAAGAACUUAUCAUUUGUGUCUGCUUUCUAACCAAAUAACAUAUUGCAGCUAUAAUCUAAUCCUAACUAAAGCACUAUUACUCCAUGCAGCACAUGUCAGUACAGAAAUCCACUGGUCUAAAGGGCUCUUCCGGGUCUGAAUGUGUAGUGGGUCUGCGUGUGAAUCAGGAUGGUAGGUGGUGUUAGGUCUUGUUUGGUCUGUUUAGCAUGUUGUGUUUUUUUACCAAAUAAUGUGAAGUGUUAUCAUUGUAACUGUACUACUGUAAUAAAGGCCUGAUCCAGAAGUGGAACAUGGCGCUACGUGUGGGUGUGGCACCACACUAGUUCCACUAUUUUUGUAAAUUUUAGUUUUAAAAUAGCUUUUAAAACUGCACAUUAUAUGAUUAUUGUAGGGUCAGAAAUGCAUGCUAGGUGGUCUCUCUUUAAAGUUUUAGAAAAAGUUAAAACUGGGAGGGUCAGCAUUUAGGAUGGCCCUCAUUCCUUUUUCUCUCCCACAGACAGCACUUUUUUUUUUAACUGCCUAGAUACGCCUUACCCACAUUUCUGUUUGGAAGUCUUUAAUUAGUGAUGCCACUAAUUGAGAAUGCCAGCCCAGUUUAUCAUAUUUGCUGCCCAUAGGUGCUGCCUGAGCAAGCACAGCCCACUCAGUGGCUUGUUUUGAAUUUGGUUGACCAAUAACAACAGAGUGGGCCAGCUGACCAAUCAGAGCAGACUGUAGCUCAGACUGUAGGCCUGGCAAGCUUGAUUCCUUUUAAGGAUUCAGGUUAUUCUGAGUCACUCACUAAACUGAUCCGGGUUGUGCGAGUCACUUGUCAGUAUUGCUAUUUUGCAAUGUGUCUGACUGUCUGCUCGAUCUAAUUGCAUUUAAACAUACUACAUUUAUACAUCAAAACCUACAGUAGGCCUAGCUAGGCUAUGUGCAGAACAUUGUAUGUUAUUUCAGAAGUGAAAGAAUUGGUUUUGUUGUGGUUUUCAAAAACCCUCAGCUCGAGGAGAGAAUUCACUCACUCGUCUGCUACAGAUCCACUUAUAGCCAGCUGAUUUGUGCGAUUGACUGACUUGCGCGAAAACUCACGAAUCAUCAACAACUCGCUAGUCAUCGAAGACUCAUGAGUUCUUGAGUUAGUCCCAUGGUCUGCGAGCUUGCAAUGUUUCCGGCUCUGAGUCUGCAGGUCGGGAAGUUCCUAUAACCUGUCUUGGACUGUCUCUCUGCUCACUCAGUCACUUGAGUUGACUUGUGGAGUUGUCGUUGCCUACGAAAUUGUGUAAAUGGAGAAGAUGGUCUGAUAUUUGCCCAACGGGCUUAUUCUAUCACAUUUCCAUGUGGGGAAGAUUUAGUCUGCUUUCAUGUACGGCAGCUCAGCACAAGCCAAACAAGUGAUUACAUUGCCAUAGUCAGUAAUGGAGAGAUCCAGACAGCUACAUCAGUGAAUGAGGACUCGAAAUGCACUCUGCAAAUCAAAGAUCUCACAGCGGAAGAUGUUGGACGUCAUCGCUGCCAACAAAGGCCAGAUGUCUUCUCUCAUCACAAUACCAGCCCAGAGUUAAAGCUCAUGCCUGGCAAAACCGUGUCACUGCAGUGCAUUUUGCAGAGCACAGCUCCACCAGGUCAACCUGACGUGGGUGGAUGAAGCCGGCACUGAGAUACACGAGGACUCACAACAUCAGAUAAAACAGGAGUCUUUGUGUGCUAUAACUCUGACUCUCACCCUUCAAAGACCUGAAAACAAGAAGUUUAGGAGCCAGGCGACUGUAGGUGAACAAGUCCAGACUUCAGUGGAGUUGCGGGUCAGAGUCCCAGCUCUUAAAGGGAGGGGAAGAGGAUUCAUCAUAGACCUAGAACCCGAAAAUCAAGGCAGCCAGGUGCCAGAUGAGUCUUGUAACACGGCCAGUACCAACAAUGUUAUGAAUGCAGACGAUGUGAUCUAAGCUGACAUUAUCUUCCCUGCUGGCCCUGACAGAGUGUGGGUUGAUGAGUGCGAGUCCACUGAAUACGCCAGUGUCCGAUACAAAUAGUCUGCUGUCCUAACUACAAAUUGUAGUAUAUCUUUUCUUUGUUUGUGAGCUCCAACUGUGCUACGGCCAUUUGUUUUAAUACUGUGAAUUGCUCCAUACCAUACCCUGUACUAUAUACUACUGUUAUUAACAGAUAUUUGGCCUUUUGACUCAGCCAUUUUGCAUUAGAAAAAUGUUAAAUUGAUUUAAUUAGUCUACCUCAAUAUGUUUGACUUCUCUUUUUAAAUAUGGUAAUUCAUUCAGCAAUUCCCAAUUUUUUUUUUAUCAGAGGAUGUAUUCACAAAACCUACAUUCAU
Perca flavescens (yellow perch) is the source of this 4239-nucleotide RNA transcript. It is a transcript of the gene named solute carrier family 25 member 29, with no coding region annotated. The record is from RefSeq and is a predicted model, not a curated record. The transcript is spliced from 10 exons. NCBI's taxonomy places the organism in Eukaryota, Metazoa, Chordata, Actinopteri, Perciformes, Percidae.